RNAcentral lists this ribosomal RNA (547 nucleotides) under Calycina affinis. Its description in RNAcentral is "LSU rRNA". It matches the Rfam family "Eukaryotic large subunit ribosomal RNA", at positions 44 to 594 of the family's 3401-position model. Lineage: Eukaryota; Fungi; Ascomycota; Leotiomycetes; Helotiales. The record is from RNAcentral. RNAcentral also lists the same sequence under 1 other name.
CAAUAAGCGGAGGAAAAGAAACCAACAGGGAUUACCUCAGUAACGGCGAGUGAAGCGGUAACAGCUCAAAUUUGAAAUCUGGCUCUUUCAGGGUCCGAGUUGUAAUUUGUAGAAGAUGCUUCGGAUGUGGCUCCGGUCUAAGUCCCUUGGAACAGGGCGUCAUAGAGGGUGAGAAUCCCGUAUGUGACUGGCUGCCUCCGUCCAUGUGAAGCUCUUUCGACGAGUCGAGUUGUUUGGGAAUGCAGCUCAAAAUGGGUGGUAAAUUUCAUCUAAAGCUAAAUAUUGGCCAGAGACCGAUAGCGCACAAGUAGAGUGAUCGAAAGAUGAAAAGCACUUUGGAAAGAGAGUUAAACAGUACGUGAAAUUGUUGAAAGGGAAGCGCUUGCAAUCAGACUUGCACGUAGCCGAUCAUCUGGGGUUCUCUCCAGUGCACUCGGUUGCGUUCAGGCCAGCAUCGGUUUGGGCGGUUGGAUAAAGGCCUUGGGAAUGUAGCUUCUUUCGGGGAGUGUUAUAGCCCUCGGUGCAAUGCAGCCUGCCCGGACCGAGG